UGGGGAAUAUUGCACAAUGGGCGCAAGCCUGAUGCAGCCAUGCCGCGUGUAUGAAGAAGGCCUUCGGGUUGUAAAGUACUUUCAGCGGGGAGGAAGGGAGUAAAGUUAAUACCUUUGCUCAUUGACGUUACCCGCAGAAGAAGCACCGGCUAACUCCGUGCCAGCAGCCGCGGUAAUACGGAGGGUGCAAGCGUUAAUCGGAAUUACUGGGCGUAAAGCGCACGCAGGCGGUCUGUCAAGUCGGAUGUGAAAUCCCCGGGCUCAACCUGGGAACUGCCAUCGGAACUUGCAGGCUAGAGUCUUGUAGAGGGGGGUAGAAUUCCAGGUGUAGCGGUGAAAUGCGUAGAGAUCUGGAGGAAUACCGGUGGCGAAGGCGGCCCCCUGGACAAAGACUGACGCUCAGGUGCGAAAGCGUGGGGAGCAAACAGG
This 429-nucleotide ribosomal RNA is filed under the name Chloroflexota bacterium. RNAcentral's name for it is "Chloroflexi bacterium partial 16S ribosomal RNA". It matches the Rfam family "Bacterial small subunit ribosomal RNA", at positions 355 to 776 of the family's 1533-position model. Lineage: Bacteria; Bacillati; Chloroflexota. The record is from RNAcentral.